GGUCUUCUUCUGGACAUCGAUCCUUUAAAAAAAGGAAAGAAGAACAAGAAGAACAAAAAAAGAGUGUAAAGUGCUGGGGCACCCAAGCCCAGUCAGACCAAGAAACUUAAGUCCGAUCAGAGUCAGACGGAAUGCUUCUACUGCAAGAAGCAGGGGCACUGGAAGAGAAAUUAUCCUCAGUACAUUGCCUCCUUGGAUCCGAACA
Molecule: long non-coding RNA, 205 nt
Filed under: Elaeis guineensis (African oil palm)
Lineage: Eukaryota; Viridiplantae; Streptophyta; Magnoliopsida; Arecales; Arecaceae
Description: long non-coding RNA (EGUI_LNC035584)
Source: RNAcentral